GUUAUGAAAUUUUAUAUUGAUUUUUUGUUGAGGUUAUAAUUAGCGGCACAUUGGGAUUUUUUUUAUUUGUUUACCAAUAUCAUUUACUAUUAUUAGAUAUUUAGUGAUAUUUGUUUAGUAAUGUUUAACAUAUUAAUUAAUUUAAUUUCAUAGGUUGUGAUUUUUGUGGUGAGAUUUUAGAGAGUAUUUUGCAUCAAAAUUCCAAUAUCAAUCACACAUUUGAGCGAAUUUGAUUACUAAGUGAAGUAACUUUGCUAGCUUUUGGAUUAAAGAUUGCAAGAGACAUAGGAGAAUAUAUGGAUAAACAGUGGAUGUCAGCGAAUAGGUUAUCUGCGGAAUUUAGGAACGGGGUCGAUUUGUUCUUAAGGUUUUGUUUGGAAAAUGUGAAAGACCCAAAUUUUACUUAUUGUCCAUGUCUUAAGUGUGGAAAUGUUAAAAAGAUGGA
Long non-coding RNA from Humulus lupulus (European hop), 445 nucleotides. RefSeq lists it as uncharacterized. The transcript is spliced from 3 exons. NCBI's taxonomy places the organism in Eukaryota, Viridiplantae, Streptophyta, Magnoliopsida, Rosales, Cannabaceae. The record is from RefSeq and is a predicted model, not a curated record.